AUGACGUCAAGUCAUCAUGGCCCUUAUGUCCUGGGCUACACACGUAAUACAAUGGUCGAUACAAAGAGCAAAGUCGCGAGGCGAAGGUAAUCUCUAAAGUCGACCUCAGUUCGGAUUGGAGUCUGCAACUCGACUCUAUGAAGCUGGAAUCGCUAGUAAUCGUAGAUCAGCAUGCUACGGUGAAUACGUUCCCGGGCCUU
This 200-nucleotide ribosomal RNA is filed under the name uncultured prokaryote. RNAcentral's name for it is "partial 16S ribosomal RNA". It matches the Rfam family "Bacterial small subunit ribosomal RNA", at positions 1179 to 1382 of the family's 1533-position model. The record is from RNAcentral.